AACUUUCAACAACGGAUCUCUUGGUUCUGGCAUCGAUGAAGAACGCAGCGAAAUGCGAUAAGUAAUGUGAAUUGCAGAAUUUAGUGAAUCAUCGAAUCUUUGAACGCACAUUGCGCCCGCCGGUAUUCCGGCGGGGCAUGCCUGUCCGAGCGUCA
Molecule: ribosomal RNA, 155 nt
Filed under: Magnaporthiopsis poae ATCC 64411
Lineage: Eukaryota; Fungi; Ascomycota; Sordariomycetes; Magnaporthales; Magnaporthaceae
Description: Magnaporthe poae ATCC 64411 5.8S ribosomal RNA
Rfam family: 5.8S ribosomal RNA
About the family: 5.8S ribosomal RNA (5.8S rRNA) is a component of the large subunit of the eukaryotic ribosome. It is transcribed by RNA polymerase I as part of the 45S precursor that also contains 18S and 28S rRNA. Functionally, it is thought that 5.8S rRNA may be involved in ribosome translocation.
Source: Rfam by way of RNAcentral